Molecule: non-coding RNA, 100 nt
Organism: Nitrospira bacterium SG8_3
Lineage: Bacteria; Pseudomonadati; Nitrospirota; Nitrospiria
Source: Rfam
GGCUGGGCCCUGUGCAACAGAAUCCUGCGAACCCCGCCAGGUCCGGAAGGAAGCAACGGUAAGUGGGCGAGUCUGUGUGCCGCAGGAUCACCUGGCCCCG